This 244-nucleotide ribosomal RNA is filed under the name uncultured bacterium. RNAcentral's name for it is "partial 16S ribosomal RNA". It matches the Rfam family "Bacterial small subunit ribosomal RNA", at positions 109 to 353 of the family's 1533-position model. The record is from RNAcentral.
AGUAACGCGUGGGUAACCUGCCUUAUACAGGGGAUAACAGUCAGAAAUGGCUGCUAAUACCGCAUAAGCGCACAGAGCUGCAUGGCUCAGUGUGAAAAACUCCGGUGGUAUAAGAUGGACCCGCGUUGGAUUAGCUUGUUGGUGGGUAACGGCCCACCAAGGCGACGAUCCAUAGCCGGCCUGAGAGGGUGAACGGCCACAUUGGGACUGAGACACGGCCCAGACUCCUACGGGAGGCAGCAUG